This 808-nucleotide ribosomal RNA is filed under the name Pseudonocardia antitumoralis. RNAcentral describes it as "bacterial SSU rRNA". It matches the Rfam family "Bacterial small subunit ribosomal RNA", at positions 103 to 925 of the family's 1533-position model. The record is from RNAcentral. Lineage: Bacteria; Bacillati; Actinomycetota; Actinomycetes; Pseudonocardiales; Pseudonocardiaceae.
CGGGUGAGUAACACGUGGGUGACCUGCCCUCCACUCUGGGAUAAGCCCGGGAAACUGGGUCUAAUACCGGAUAGGACCUCUCAACGCAUGUUGGGUGGUGGAAAGUUUUUUCGGUGGGGGAUGGGCCCGCGGCCUAUCAGCUUGUUGGUGGGGUGAUGGCCUACCAAGGCGGUGACGGGUAGCCGGCCUGAGAGGGCGACCGGCCACACUGGGACUGAGACACAGCACAGACUCAUACGGGAGGCAGCAGUGGGGAAUAUUGCGCAAUGGGCGGAAGCCUGACGCAGCGACGCCGCGUGGGGGAUGACGGCCUUCGGGUUGUAAACCUCUUUCGCCAGGGACGAAGCUUUUGUGACGGUACCUGGAGAAGAAGCACCGGCCAACUACGUGCCAGCAGCCGCGGUAACACGUAGGGUGCGAGCGUUGUCCGGAAUUAUUGGGCGUAAAGAGCUCGUAGGCGGUGUGUCGCGUCGGCCGUGAAAACUUGGGGCUUAACUCUGAGCGUGCGACGAUACGGGCAUCACUUGAGUUCGGCAGGGGAGACUGGAAUUCCUGGGUGUAGCGUGAAAUGCGCAGAUAUCAGGAGGAACGCCGGUGGCGAAGGCGGCUCUCUGGGCCCGAUACUGACGCUGAGGAGCGAAAGCGGGGGAGCGAACAGGAUUAGAUACCCUGGUAGUCCACGCGGAGACGUUGGGCGCUAGGUGUGGGACCAUUCCACGGAUUCUGCACAGCAGCUAACGCAUUAGCGGCCCGCUGGGGAGUACGGACAGCAAAGAAUAAAACUCAAGGAAUUGGACGGGGGCCCGCA